GGAAUAGGACCCUGUCCUCCUAUUUUCAGUUGGUUUUGGCAGCGCGAGGACUAGGGUAAUGAUUAAUAGGGAUAGUUGGGGGCAUUAAUAUUUAAUUGUCAGAGGUGAAAUUCUUGGAUUUAUGAAAGAUUAACUUCUGCGAAAGCAUCUGCCAAGGAUGUUUUCAUUAAUCAAGAACGAAAGUUAGGGGAUCGAAGACGAUCAGAUACCGUCGUAGUCUUAACCAUAAACGAUGCCGACCAGCGAUUAGGAGACGUUGAAUACAAAACACCACCAUCGGCGCGGUCGUCCUUGGCGUCUGUCCCUUUCAACGGGGGCAUGGCGCGAGGGCGGUUUAGCCCGGUGGCACCGGUGAAU
RNAcentral lists this ribosomal RNA (357 nucleotides) under Acanthamoeba genotype T4. Its description in RNAcentral is "SSU rRNA". It matches the Rfam family "Eukaryotic small subunit ribosomal RNA", at positions 811 to 1097 of the family's 1831-position model. The record is from RNAcentral. Lineage: Eukaryota; Discosea; Longamoebia; Acanthamoebidae.